AUGCUCAGCACUACUAGCAUUGUCUCCUUGGCAGGAUGGAGUGCAAUAAAAAAUAACUAGAAAAACAUCUCUUAAGUGGCUGAAAUCCGGAGGAGGCUGAACUCUGGCUCAUCUUGCACAGGGAAGCCAAGCAGCCAUGCAACUGUGCAGGACUGGAACCAUUUUCUUCUUGUUGGUGAGACUGGCUAGAGUUAAAUCAAAAGAGGUAAAAUUCAAGCUUUGUUGAAAAAACAUUACAUUCCUUGCAAACCCAAUCAGACAUUCAAAAUGUGUUCAGCUCCCCUGAACAUCAAAAGGAGUGAUCAGCAAAUCUCGGGCUUGGUCCUGAUUUGACAAUUUUAAGAAAAACAAAGUAGUCAUGAUAAAUAACUGCCCUUACACCGUUUUGCUUCUCUGGAGACUGAUCUUGAUCUUACCCAUCUCAUUUCAUGCACAUGAAUAUUCCCGUUGAUUAAGGGAAAAAUGCUGCACUUCAAACUCCAGCUAACUGAUUACCUGCCAGUUCUGAAGCUGUGCUCUGAAUUAAUCUGCUCCAAAAGCCAACAGAGAUGACUUAUGUUUGGGCACCUCACAGGAAAGCAGGGAGAUGAAAAGCCUUAGGAAAACUUUGACAAACAACUUGGAGUGUUUGACCAACUAUGCACAGCUGCUGCUGAAUGAAGAAUGCAAGUAACAUGCCAAACAGAGACAAGAGGUGAUCAACAGGGAAGGCAGCUUUUCUGUCUGCACUGAGCAUUUUAUUUUCAAGAAAGGAGAGGAAAUAUGCUGAAUUACCUGUAGGAGGUGUGCCUGCUUUUGCUAAUAGAUGUACUCGGUUUAUGCAUUAAUUCCUAACCGGUCAGAUCCUGUACCAAUGUACACUGGAAUCCCUCUGAGGUCAAUGGAGGUGCAGACCUGUGCACAGCACCUUAAUUUGAUUGAUUUCAUCCCACCCAUUUAAACAUGCCUUACAGACUUGUUUGCAGAGCCAAACCGAAAUAUCUCUGCCCCCUCCAAUUCCCUAUUUCAGGCGAUGAUGUCUCCUCAUAAAUCCCGGAUACGAUAGCACCAGCAUGACCCAUCACUUCAUUACAUCAAUGUGCAGAGCUGUGUAUUGUACUGAGGAGGAAUUUAUCUAGUUGGAAUGGAUCUGGUCCAGGAACAAAUAAAGGAGUUAGGAAUCUGAUUAUUUCUGGGCCAAUUCCGUAUGAAUUACAGCUUCUCAAUUUUCCUAAUGUCAGCUAGUUUUAUACUUCGCUUUGUUUUCUGUCCUCACACAGGAGGUGAAGUAUCUAGCUAGCACAGGCUUCUUGAUUAUCUCCACCAUCUAGCUGAUUUCUUAACG
Gymnogyps californianus (California condor) is the source of this 1324-nucleotide long non-coding RNA. RefSeq lists it as uncharacterized. The record is from RefSeq and is a predicted model, not a curated record. The transcript is spliced from 5 exons. NCBI's taxonomy places the organism in Eukaryota, Metazoa, Chordata, Aves, Accipitriformes, Cathartidae.